GGACUACUGGGGUUUCUAAUCCUGUUUGCUCCCCUAGCUUUCGUGCCUCAGCGUCGGUAACGGUCCAGGGAGCCACCUUCGUCGCUGGUGUUCCUCCCGAUCUCUACGCAUUUCACCGCUACACCGGGAAUUCCACUCCCCUCUCCCGUACCCGAAGCACAGCAGUUUUCGAUGGCCGCUCCCGGUUGAGCCGGGAGAUUUCACACCAAACACACUGCGCCGCCUACGCACUCUUUACGCCCAGUAAUUCCGAACAACGCUAGCCCCCUACGUAUUACCGCGGCGGCUGGCAC
This 293-nucleotide ribosomal RNA is filed under the name uncultured Acidobacteriota bacterium. RNAcentral describes it as "uncultured Acidobacteria bacterium partial 16S ribosomal RNA". Lineage: Bacteria; Pseudomonadati; Acidobacteriota. The record is from RNAcentral.